AAAAUAUUUGGAAUUUCGCCUUGAAGGGGCGGCGGUGGCCCUUGAAAGUUUCAGGAGGAAGCGGUGGUGGCCGGUGGCCAUGUUCAUUGGUGGAGAUUAUCGCCUAUUUCUAUUUGGAGGCGGCGGCGGUGAUUUUUCUCGCCGCGAUUCUUGCCAGCUUUUACGUGGAUUCGGCGGCGUCCGCCGAGAGCGGCGGGCGAAUUUUGAAGUUCGGCUCUAAAUUUGUUGAGCCGUGUAACAGUUUAUGUUGUUUAGGGAUAGGGAUCUGUUUUGUUACUCUUGCUCCGAUUGGAGACGAUAAUAGCAUUUACGCCGUGCAUCUCGAAAGAGAGUGAUAAUCGAGGAGGCUGCUGUUGCGCGCGGAGGAGAAGGCCGACGACGGAGGCGGCAAUGGCUGGACGACGGC
RNAcentral lists this long non-coding RNA (406 nucleotides) under Salvia miltiorrhiza (redroot sage). RNAcentral's name for it is "long non-coding RNA (SMIL_LNC002688)". The record is from RNAcentral. Lineage: Eukaryota; Viridiplantae; Streptophyta; Magnoliopsida; Lamiales; Lamiaceae.